UCAGAGAUAAAUUAUUUUUCUGGCAAAACUCUUGCGAAUAGCUUCGAUUUUCUUCGAACGCAUCUUAAUUAACUAUGAGAUGUACCCCUCGCA
RNAcentral lists this small RNA (93 nucleotides) under Prochlorococcus marinus subsp. marinus str. CCMP1375. RNAcentral describes it as "ATPC RNA motif". It matches the Rfam family "ATPC RNA motif". Lineage: Bacteria; Bacillati; Cyanobacteriota; Cyanophyceae; Synechococcales; Prochlorococcaceae. The record is from Rfam by way of RNAcentral.